RNAcentral lists this long non-coding RNA (4238 nucleotides) under Eptatretus burgeri (inshore hagfish). Its description in RNAcentral is "lncRNA (ENSEBUG00000017289.1)". The record is from RNAcentral. Lineage: Eukaryota; Metazoa; Chordata; Myxini; Myxiniformes; Myxinidae.
CCGGGAUCUUUUGGGCAAACACGAACCCGCAGUGUGAAUGUCCCAGAGUGUGUGUUUGAACGUGCGAGUGACACAAAUGACAUGGAAUAUGUGGAAAUGGAAGACGGACCGACCCAGACGGUAGACGUGGGUUGUGUAACGGACGGGAACGGCGAGCCUAAUGGGCCGCACGGAACUAUUUCGGGAACCGCGCCGGCUCCGCGGGACGCUGUGUGCGAGAUCCGCUCCGUGUUUUGCAAACCUCCCGAGCAGGGACGAUUGCGUGAAGGGAAGCCGGUGCUGAAACGCUCGGCGCUUGGUAGAAGACCGCGCGGACGGCUAAAAUGGAGGCGAAUUGGGUCGAGUGAAUUCGGAAAGCACGAAUCCCCAUGUGAGCGCGUGUGUGGGACUCGAUGUGCUGUUGGCGGAGCGGGUCCCGAUGGCGAGGACACCGCCGGGCCCGUGUGCGUGGUCAGCCGCGCGGAGCGGUCUGUGUGCGAGUGACGUCAUCCGCGGGGAUCGCGCGGAACGAAGGCCGGGAUGAUGCACCAAUGUGUGGGUUGUCCUUCGGAAGGACGUCAAAUCAGAGGAACAAAGCCGUCGGUGGAUGUUAAAGAUCCCACAGUGUCUCUCGUGAAGAGUAGAUUAUACUUGCUGAAGUCAAGGUUGCCAAUCUCAUCGCGCAGCACAACUUUCCGCUCGCAACAGUCGAUCAUCUCAGCCAACUGUUUCACGAUAUCUUCCCAGAUUCUGAAAAUUGCAAAGCAGUAUUCCCCGGCCAAAACCAAGACAACCUGUAUGCUGAAUGGGGCGAAUUCCCCUCACUUCCGAGUGAAUCUGGUGGAAAAUAUGAAAGACCAACCAUACUCCCUUGCUGUUGAUGGUUCCAACAAUACUGGGCUCGAGAAGAUGAAUCCUCUUUCAGUUGGAAUUUAUGAUGUCAACACAAGCAGGGUUGAAUUUCAUCUCCUUGAUAUGUGCCUAACUUCAGGAGUUAACUCAGCAACAGCUGCAGGUGUAUUUGACAAAAUAAAUGAGAAAAUUGCUCAACAUGACAUUCCUUGGGAGAACUGUGCGGCGUUUGGGGUUGACAACACAAGUGUAAACUUCGGUAGAAAGAACAGAAUCGAGACCAGAGUAAUCAAACUGGUAGAAUCUUGUUAUUUCGUAGGACGUGCCUGUCAUUUAGUACACAACCUUGCCUGCAAAGCAUCCGAUUCUCUCCAAAAGUUAAAUUUGACAUGGAAGAUUUCUGUGUCGAUAUCUUUUAUUGGUUUGAUAAGUCAACAAAAAGGAAAGGAAUUCUGAGUGACUUCUGUACAUUCUGCGACUCAGAAUAUAUACAGGUUAUAAAGCAUGUCAACACCAGCUGGCUGAGUCAGGAAAAGGCAGUUGGUCGUAAUUUGCAGAUAUUUGAAGGUAGUAAGAGUUACUUUAAAUCUUCAGACGAAAGCCGUCCUGGAUUCAAGAGGCAACAGAAGCACUUUGAAGAUCCUACGACAGUGGUGUACCUGUUCCUCUAUCAAUCUGUGCUGCCCAUAUUCACAAACUUCAACAAGUUUCUUCAAAGGGAAGACCCUUGCAUCUUUGCAAUCUUCCCGCAGAUGCAGUCUUUCAUGAAAAAGCUCCUUGCAAAGUUUGUGAAGGUUGACGUGAUAAUGGAAGGUCUACCUGCCGUCACUGACAUUGACUUUGUGCCUGGAAACAAAUCAACGAUCAAAUGAAGCUAUCUUUGUUGGUGAGUCUACCAGAGAAAAACUGGAAUAUCUCGAGGAACAAGGGGACAUAUCUCCACAGGAUUGCAACAAGUUUUUCAAGGACGUCAGAGCCUUCUAUUCUAAGGCAGCAGCGGAAGCACUUCAAAAGCUUCCAUGGCUUGACAAACGUGACAUUCUCAGACAAUUUAAGUUUGUCAACUUCAAUGAGAGAGGGACGGCAACAUUUGAAGAUGUGUUGUUUUUUUGUGAAGCGGAAUGCACAUCUUCUGCCCUUUCAAACUCCACACAAGGUGGUGGAGUUGCAAGACGAAUUCACGGAGUACCAACUCUUGGACAAUGAGGAUAUCCCACAGAAGACAUGGGAUGAAGCACUUGUAAAGGAUGAAGUUGGAGUGUUUUUUUUCACAAGAUGGAGGUGAUUUGGGGCCAUCUUUCCAGUAGUUAAGCUUGCUGGGGGUAGCUCCAAAUUUGGCCAACUCUCUGCUAUAGCUAAACUUGUUCUUGUGAUCCCCCACUCAAAUGCUGGUGAUGAGCGAGUGUUUAGCAUGGUUAGAAAAAUCAAAACUGAUUUCAGGAGUAGUCUUUCCUUAGCCAGAACUAUCACCUCUCUUCUGACCAAGAAGAUGGCCAGCCCAGAAGCUGGUUCCCCAUGCUACAAAUGGGAACCUUCUAAAGAAGUGCAGAAAAAGGCACAAAGUGCAACAAAAGAAUAUAACUCUCUCCACUCCAAGUAAACUGAACAUUAUUGACUAUUACAAGUCAUUCAUGUUUUGAAGUGUUGCCUGUUAGUGACUCCUUGUCCAUUACCUUGUAGCUUUUGUUGAAAAAAAUAUCACAUCUCAUUAAUUAUACAAUCUGGUUAAUAUGAUAAUGCUUUAUGUUAUUGUGUAUAUACAGUAACGAAGUCAUGGGAUUAAAAUGAAGGAUGGAAGCCACAGGGCACUGACGUUAAUUGUUUCUUGUGUUUACAGUAGAUUGAAUCAUUGUAUGCCAUGCUAGUUCCUUUGUCAGGGUUUUGUUGUUGUGAAUUACCAGUUGAUUGCCAAAUAUCAAUUUGCUGAAAUAAUACAUCUUUAUUAUAAGGAUGAUGAGUGUUCCAAUUCCUGUAUAGCAUUUUAUCUGUUGAUAUGUCUUGUUUGUUCAUGUUGUUGGUUCAUUUCUUUUUGUCCAUACAGUGGACUAAACAGUAACAACAUGACAUAAAAACCUAUCUUCUGACUGAAAAUAAUAUGGAUGAAUUUGGCACUGGAAUGCAGGAAAUUGCAUCUAAGACACACCAGAAAGUAAACAUUUUCUGGGGGAGCAUGCCCCCAGACCCCCGUAGAUUUUUUGGCCGCUUCACGCCCUCAAUUCUCGGUCACUACGCGACCUCGCUGGACAGAUUUUACAUCCUCACACUUUUUCAUAAUUUGGGGUUCACAGGUCAGUGACUGACUCAGUGACCUCUGUAACUAUUUUAUAGAGCCUGGGUGGAGGAAGACCCACAAAGUGGAUCAAAAUGCCCUGUAAGUGUAUCUGAGAGCCCUCAUUUGUGUGCAGAUGCUACCCUGAGAAGUAGCACAGUCCCACCAGACUCUGGAGCCAAAAAUGGCCUCAUUUGCUCCCAAACUCAGCCACGCAACAGAGCUCCAGGAUUUAUAUGGGUUGUCGGGUUUUGGGAGUGUUCUCCGGUCAUGAAUGUGUGCUGGGCUUCAAUCGAGGGUCAGUAUUUAGCGGAGCGCCAGGGCUACCCAGGCGAUGUUGAAUGGGCCCCAGCGCAUGUUUGCGCUUCGAGCUAUAUGCCGAUAUGUUCGGACUCGUAGGCACCUUCAAUGUCCUCCAUUCCCUGGCAUUCCAAAGGACAGCAGUGGGUGUCCGGGGUACCGACUGUGGUCGCGCUGCGUCAUCGCGGCUGUGGUGAGGAGGGUGAAGCGCAAUGGUGUUUGUGGUGAAGAGGUUGCGACUGUGUUAAUGUGAUUGAAGCGUUUGUGGUGAAGAUGUCGAAUGUAGGUUAUUGUGGAGAUUUUUAGGAAAGUGAUUGUAGUUUGUAUGAAGGCUAUCGCGUUGAUGGUCUGAGUACUGUGAGGGUCUGAGGUGAAACGUCCAUUGGUGACGAGCGCGCAGUUUGAAUGGGGCCACCGUGGCAUAUGUUCAUGAGGCUCAAUUGACAUCACCGUUCGGUAUGUGGCGUGCAUGCACGUGUGAAGGAGACGUCGUGUGUAAAAUAAAGUGAAAUAAAAUAAAUGAAACAAGAGCAAAUGGAAUUAAAGAUCUCAUGAAAAGCCCUGCGCAACGCAUUUUGUCCCAUAUACGCACUAUGGAAGGGCGAACUGAAUGAAUACUAAUGAAAUAACUGUCUCGGGACCGCGAUAUGUUGGGUGCCAUUGCCUUGGGGGAGUGCUGGCUUUGAAGAACUGCAACGAUAUAUAAAGCAUGUUAACACUUAAAUGAAAAAUCACUUCGAGUGACACUUAGGGAAACGGAAUGGCACUCGGGAGAGAACAUACCUCUGCCAGGCUGAACAGUUUAAAUUUUGUAUCCCACUGACAGGUCGGAUCUGAA